AGAGUUUGAUCAUGGCUCAGAGUGAACGCUGGCGGCGUGCCUAACACAUGCAAGUCGAACGAGAACGGAUUACAGCUUGCUGUAAUUGUCAGCUAAGUGGCGCACGGGUGAGUAAUAUAUAGUUAAUCUGCCCCAAAGAAGAGAAUAAUUGUUGGAAACGACUUGUAAUGCUCUAUAUGCCUUUAAGACAUAAGUCUGCAAGGGAAAUAUUUAUAGCUUUGGGAUGAGACUGUACGGUAUCAGCUAGUUGGUGAGGUAAUGGCUCACCAAGGCUAUGACAUCUAACUGGUUUGAGAGGAUGAUCAGUCACACUGGAACUGAGACACGGUCCAGACUCCUACGGGAGGCAGCAGUGGGGAAUAUUGCACAAUGGAGGAAACUCUGAUGCAGCAACGCCGCGUGGAGGAUGACACAUUUCGGUGCGUAAACUCCUUUUAUAUGAGAAGAUAAUGACGGUA
RNAcentral lists this ribosomal RNA (458 nucleotides) under uncultured bacterium. RNAcentral describes it as "bacterial SSU rRNA". It matches the Rfam family "Bacterial small subunit ribosomal RNA", at positions 8 to 477 of the family's 1533-position model. The record is from RNAcentral.